Vicia faba (fava bean) is the source of this 315-nucleotide non-coding RNA. NCBI's taxonomy places the organism in Eukaryota, Viridiplantae, Streptophyta, Magnoliopsida, Fabales, Fabaceae. The record is from the annotation of a GenBank genome assembly.
AUGGAAGGGCAUCGGUUACGCGUUGGAACCUUAGCAAGGAGUUCAUCUCUUUUGUCUUCUGGUGGUCUUAUGAUAACCAACGCCAGUAAUUUUCAAUUAUCUAGUUGGUCCUGUUUUGUUUUUAUCCAGAUGCAAGUCCAUUUACAACUUCUUUUCAUUGCCAAACUUUGUGCAUGUCGGCCGCUGAUGACCUUCCUCAUAGUUGGUGGUUAUGAUGGUUUGCAUUUUUCUUUUUUAACCAAUUUGGGUAUGUUAUCAACAGCUCAUCCUCGGUCCACUAUGGCGAUCGUUCAUUUCAAGCAUGCAAGACUCUAA